Long non-coding RNA from Prosopis cineraria, 622 nucleotides. RefSeq lists it as uncharacterized. The record is from RefSeq and is a predicted model, not a curated record. The transcript has 3 exons. Lineage: Eukaryota; Viridiplantae; Streptophyta; Magnoliopsida; Fabales; Fabaceae.
GACUGAACCCGUCUGCACCUAAUCAUUCCCUUUGUUUCAUUUCGGGGGGUUUCUGCUGCACGGUGUUCGCGCUCGUUUGUUCGCUGCCCCUUCGAAAUCUCAAGACAAAAAUCACUCUUUCCACCUCUCUGAAUCUCGAUCACGCCGAGAGGACGACUCCCCUCCCUCCUCCGUUCUCCAUCGCUGUGUGAUUCGUGCUUUCUUCGUCUUCUUCGUCCACUCUCCUUUCAGAGCAGGCCUUCCCUUGUAUCAUUCCAAUCCCUAGCCGCCAAGUGUUCCAUUCCGCUUCUCGGUUCAGCUUGUGCGGGAAUCAAUUAUUCGGUUAUUGAUCAAGCUUCUAGAGGUUAGAGGGCCUGCUGGUUGAUGAUGAAUUUGCAACAAGUUGGGCAGUCUAGAUCCUCUAAUGGAUAUGGCCGUCGAAAAUCUGAAAGAGAAGGGGCAGCCAAGUCAGAGAAUAAGAUCUCAUCUGGGAAGUCAAAUUCCAACAGACGGGCAAGUACAGGUGAUGGUCCUUCACAUGAUCGACUAGUAUAUGUUACAUCAUGUCUUAUUGGACAGCAGGUGGAAGUGCAUGUUAAAAAUGGAUCUAUAUACUCUGGAAUAUUCCAUGCAACAAAUACUG